UGUAGAUCUGCUGGCCUCCAGGCAUGCAAAGGGGUGGCCAUGGCUAUGAUCCCCAUUUCCCUGAUGAAGAAACUGAGGCCCAUGGCAGUUCCAGGCACCAAAAUCGAGGGCAGGUCAUGUGGAAAGCAUAGCUGCGACCCCUGUCACGUCUCCUUUUUUAUUUUUUUGUAAGAAGAGAUGUUUGUUCCUGAGCCGCGCGGAGGAGGGGCCCCCGCCUCUUCACCAGCUGUAACCACGUCAGCUGCCGCGGGCACAAAGGCCGCUUCUCCCCGUGUCCCCCCCUCACCCCGGAGCCCCAGCCCGAGGCCGCCAGCCGGCCCGGCACACAGGACUCAGCCCGCUGCCCAGCUUUGCAGCAAGGGACCCUCCUGAGUGCCAACUCGCAGAGCAGCAGCUGAAAACGGCUCAUUAGCCCUGAAUGGAGCCUGCAGAGCAGGGGCAGCGGGCGGGCAGGCCCUGGCAGCCGAGGGCAUUGUUCCCGCCCGAUCCCUGGAGGGCCACAGAUGGGUGUAGUGCCUCCUGCCCGGCCCGGCUGGUCAGGCGCUGCCGAGAUGCUAUUUCAGAUACAUCCAGUUAAAGCAAAUAUAUUCUUCAGACUAAUCUCACCCGUUUCUUUGUAUGUUUAAAAUGUGGCCACUCGGCAAUUUGACAUUACAUCUGUGGCUAUUCACCUCCUAUUUCAUGUUGCGCCGUCUGGGUCUAGGGCCGUGCUAAUCUGAGCUGUCCAGACCCUCACCUCAGCAUCCCCUGGGAGCUGGUAAGAAGCGCAGCUUCUCGGACCCCACCCAGGCUUGCAGAAGCAAAGCCUAAUUCUUAGGCGAACUCUGGAGCCCCACAACUACUGUACUUGUGAUCUGUCACCAAACUGAACCAGGCCUCCCACACUGCCCUGUGCCCAUCUCAGGCCCCACAGAGCCCCGAGUCAGCGGAAACACCCGCCACCCCAUCAGGGGCCGUGCAGUCCCCCAGCUGGGGAAAAUGUCUCUUGAGGGUCUUGGGAGCAGCAAAAUAUGAUCUUAGAAUGCUGAGCUUGCCCUGUUCUCCCCCUCAAAAGUUGUCUAGCCAAAACCUCUCUGAUUUAGACAAAAUGGAGGGAGACAGUCUGAUCUGCAGAACUUAAGAAUUGGUGCUGAGUGCCUGCGGCAGGCCAAGUGUUUAGAAACAUUUAUUUCAUUCUUUUUGG
Manis pentadactyla (Chinese pangolin) is the source of this 1183-nucleotide long non-coding RNA. RefSeq lists it as uncharacterized. The transcript has 3 exons. NCBI's taxonomy places the organism in Eukaryota, Metazoa, Chordata, Mammalia, Pholidota, Manidae. The record is from RefSeq and is a predicted model, not a curated record.